CUCGGGAGGCAGCAGUGGGGAAUAUUGGACAAUGGGCGAAAGCCUGAUCCAGCCAUGCCGCGUGUGUGAAGAAGGCCUUCGGGUUGUAAAGCACUUUCAGUGGGGAAGAAAGCCUUGGGGCUAAUACCCUCGAGGAAGGACAUCACCCACAGAAGAAGCACCGGCUAACUCCGUGCCAGCAGCCGCGGUAAUACGGAGGGUGCGAGCGUUAAUCGGAAUUACUGGGCGUAAAGCGCGCGUAGGCGGUCUGAUAAGCCGGUUGUGAAAGCCCCGGGCUCAACCUGGGAACGGCAUCCGGAACUGUCAGGCUAGAGUGCAGGAGAGGAAGGUAGAAUUCCCGGUGUAGCGGUGAAAUGCGUAGAGAUCGGGAGGAAUACCAGUGGCGAAGGCGGCCUUCUGGACUGACACUGACGCUGAGGUGCGAAAGCGUGGGUAGCAAACAGGAUUAGAUACCCCAGUAGUC
This 463-nucleotide ribosomal RNA is filed under the name Vreelandella stevensii. Its description in RNAcentral is "partial 16S ribosomal RNA". It matches the Rfam family "Bacterial small subunit ribosomal RNA", at positions 340 to 795 of the family's 1533-position model. Lineage: Bacteria; Pseudomonadati; Pseudomonadota; Gammaproteobacteria; Oceanospirillales; Halomonadaceae. The record is from RNAcentral.